This 1513-nucleotide unclassified non-coding RNA is filed under the name Hevea brasiliensis (rubber tree). The record is from RNAcentral. Lineage: Eukaryota; Viridiplantae; Streptophyta; Magnoliopsida; Malpighiales; Euphorbiaceae.
UGUUGAUUGGCACCCUACAAAGUCUCUCUUAGUCUCAGGUGGAAAAGAUAAUCUUGUUAAACUUUGGGAUGCCAAGUCAGGAAAGGAGCUUUCAUCAUUUCAUGGACAUAAGAAUACCGUUCUCUGUGUAAAGUGGAAUCAAAAUGGUAACUGGGUCCUUACUGCUUCCAAGGAUCAAAUUAUCAAGCUUUAUGACAUACGUGCUAUGAAGGAGGUUGAGUCAUUCCGAGGGCAUCAGAAGGAUGUGACAUCACUGGCCUGGCAUCCAUUUCAUGAAGAAUAUUUCGUCAGUGGAAGCUUUGAUGGUUCAAUAUUUCAUUGGCUUGUGGGGCAUGAAGCUCCUCAAGUAGAAAUCACAAAUGCACAUGAAACUGGUGUUUGGGAUCUUGCGUGGCACCCCAUUGGCUAUCUCCUUUGCAGCGGUAGUAAUGAUCAGACAACAAAGUUCUGGUGCAGAAAUAGGCCUGGGGACUCCGCUCGUGAUAAAUUCAAUUUAGGACAACAAGGUUUGGGUGAUCAACACAAUGUUCUUGGUCGCAUGCCUGGUAAUUUUCCAGGUCCUGAGCCCCCAUCAACUCCUGGAGCAUUUGCCUCUGGUAUGUUACGAACGGAGGGUACAAUACCUGGAGUUGGAGCUGCAAUGCCACUGUCUAUCCCGUCACUUGAUUCACCUUCUCAAGGAGAACAGAAGACUUCAAUGCCUUUAGGAGCUCCUCCCCUUCCUCCUGGUCCACAUCCAUCGCUUCUUGCAAGUAAUCAGCAGCAAGCAUAUCAACAAAACAUGCAGCAAGCUCAGCAGCAGUCACUGCCUCAACAAAUGACUUCUCUUCCUUUGCAACCACCGAAUUUGCCACAGCUACAGCCUCCACAUAUGCCUCUAAUGCCACAUCCUCAUCUACCUCGGCCACCACAUCAACUACAACCAGUAAACAUGCCCGGCAUUCAGUCUUCAAUGCCAGGAUCUGGACCCAUCCAAGGAAUGCCUCCGAUGGGGAUACAAGGUAACAUGAAUCAGAUGGGCCCUCCAAUGCCUCAAGGUCAUUUUGUUGGCAUGCCUCCUGGAUCUGGACCGCAGGGCAAUGUUCCCCCUGGUGGAAUGCCAAAUGGAUUGCCAAACAUGCAAGGCCCUCAAAAUGCAGGAGGCAAUCAGAUGUUUCCACCAGUACGAGGCUUCAACAGGCCACAAGCUGGACAGAUGCCGCUCAUGCCUGGACUUAAUCCUUAUCAGCAAUCUGGAAAUCCAAACACACCUCCUGGAAUGCACAUGCAGUCAAACUUUGGUCAUCAAUCUGGAAUGCCUCCGCCACUGCCGCCAGGGCCUCCACCACAUAAUCAAGGACAUCAAUAGGCCAUUGUCUAUAGUUUCGAGCUUUGCUCAAGUUGUCUGUUGAGAUUCUACUCUCUGCACCAGUUCAAUUGGUUAAUUGAUUUCUUUUGACAGACAGUCGGAUAGCAUCUCUGUAUUUUCUUGAAUGUAUUUUUAGGGAAAAGUUAUUGCAUAUUUAUGCAUUCG